GACGAACGCUGGCGGCGUGCUUAACACAUGCAAGUCGAACGGAAAGGCCCUUCGGGGUACUCGAGUGGCGAACGGGUGAGUAACACGUGGGUGAUCUGCCCUGCACUUUGGGAUAAGCCUGGGAAACUGGGUCUAAUACCGAAUAGGACCACGCGCUUCAUGGUGUGUGGUGGAAAGCUUUUGCGGUGUGGGAUGGGCCCGCGGCCUAUCAGCUUGUUGGUGGGGUAAUGGCCUACCAAGGCGACGACGGGUAGCCGGCCUGAGAGGGUGACCGGCCACACUGGGACUGAGAUACGGCCCAGACUCCUACGGGAGGCAGCAGUGGGGAAUAUUGCACAAUGGGCGCAAGCCUGAUGCAGCGACGCCGCGUGAGGGAUGACGGCCUUCGGGUUGUAAACCUCUUUCAAUAGGGACGAAGCGCAAGUGACGUUACCUAUAGAAGAAGCACCGGCCAACUACGUG
RNAcentral lists this ribosomal RNA (462 nucleotides) under uncultured bacterium. RNAcentral describes it as "partial 16S ribosomal RNA". It matches the Rfam family "Bacterial small subunit ribosomal RNA", at positions 28 to 507 of the family's 1533-position model. The record is from RNAcentral.